CCCUUAAUAGUGACAAUGUAAUUUGUGGCAGUAUGUGUCAUGGAUUGAUGCAUGCUUGAUGGACAUUGCUUUGUUUUCAACCCAACCAACAUUUUGAAUCCAAUAAAGCCAACUCAGGGUUGGCUGAAGGAGAAAAAAAAUCUCCAUAUAUUUUGUAUGGAAUUGCAAAUAUCUCUUGUAAUUCGAAUUGCUGCAAUGUGCAUUUUGCACAUUGCUGUAACGUGGUCCAUCCUCUUAAUUAGUCAGGGCUUGCUAGAGGUGCCUACUUGUCAGAAGUCUUAGAAGUCGAUGCAGUGCUGUACAUGAGAAGCCACGUACUCAAAUUACCUCCCAAACCAAAGCCUAAUGGUGGAUAUCA
This 358-nucleotide long non-coding RNA is filed under the name Elaeis guineensis (African oil palm). RNAcentral's name for it is "long non-coding RNA (EGUI_LNC009136)". Lineage: Eukaryota; Viridiplantae; Streptophyta; Magnoliopsida; Arecales; Arecaceae. The record is from RNAcentral.